This 447-nucleotide ribosomal RNA is filed under the name uncultured bacterium. Its description in RNAcentral is "bacterial SSU rRNA". It matches the Rfam family "Bacterial small subunit ribosomal RNA", at positions 355 to 825 of the family's 1533-position model. The record is from RNAcentral.
UGGGGAAUAUUGGACAAUGGGCGCAAGCCUGAUCCAGCCAUGCCGCGUGAACGAUGAAGGCCUUAGGGUUGUAAAGUUCUUUUGUCAGGGAAGAUAAUGACGGUACCUGAAGAAUAAGCACCGGCUAACUUCGUGCCAGCAGCCGCGGUAAUACGAAGGGUGCUAGCGUUGUUCGGAAUCACUGGGCGUAAAGCGCGCGUAGGCGGCUUAACAAGUCAGAGGUGAAAGCCUGGAGCUCAACUCCAGAACUGCCUUUGAAACUGUUAAGCUUGAGUGUCGGAGGGGAUAGCGGAAUUUCUAAUGUAGAGGUGAAAUUCGUAGAUAUUAGAAGGAACACCGGUGGCGAAGGCGGCUAUCUGGACGACAACUGACGCUGAGGCGCGAAAGCGUGGGGAUCAAACAGGAUUAGAUACCCUUGUAGUCCCUGAGCGGGCUGGCAAGGCGCAU